CACAGGUCAUUUGGUGCCCAGCUUUGCUCAGUAGGAAGCAAAUCCCACUUUGCCUCCAUUAGUUUCAGGAUGUAAAUGAAGAAAAAUGAAGUCAGCUUUCAGGUUCCUGGGGAUAGAUGACAUUCAUUCACUCUGGCAUUCAGCUAUUUUUGUUGUUUACAUUUGAUGCCUCUUACAAAUACUCUGUUCUGAAUAAGAAGAAAUAUUUUUCUGAAGGUAUUCUUAAUUUUUCACUUCAAAGUCAAUCUUUAAAAACCUCCCUGCCAUUAUCAAGCCUGCAAUGGUUUCAUCCUAAUCCCUCUUACUCUCUCCAUUCUUAUCCUUUGCUGAGGGGAAAUGAUAAAAUUUUUUCUGACACAGAACUCGGAUCCAGUGCUGAAAGAUAAGCUGUUUCAAAAUAAAAUCAUGGAUUUCAAUUUUAAGCAUUGGUUAAUAUUGCCAUUUUUAUAGAUCCUUUCCUACUGCAGAUUGAAUGAAGCACAUUAGCUAAAAGGCCUUCUCCUGAAAUAAGAGCUCAUACUUUUCUAACCCUUCUUCUUCAUUCUAAGUUUCCACUUCUAAGCAUGGUCUUUCUACAGUAAUGAACAGCCAGAGAUCAAACCCAGCUUUGUAAUUAAAAAUUCAAUCAAAAGUAGGUCUGGGAAACUUCCAGUGGGUGAGAAAGCUGUAGGUGAAUUUAAGUUUAAUUGGUAGCUGGGUUUCUUCUAAGACUAUUUUAAGGUGCUUAAAGCUUCCCUGUCUUAAAAACCAGCACUUAGAUUUUGUCAGACACACAAAAAGAGAUCGAAAAAGGAUGCACAAGUGGCCUUGAGCACCUUUCUUUGGAAAUUCCAUUCUUUUAGUGCAGUUUCAAUUGGAGUAAAGGCUGGGAGUAUUUCCAGGUAACAUCCAAAAAGGUCUGCCCAAGGGUUCAGAAGAAAUUGUCUUUUCUACUGGAAUAAACUGGCCCAGCAUAGGGUUUUUUGGGGGGUUUUGUGAUGGGUAUGACCUGGAAUAGUUUCACAAGAGUCAAUAGCAUCACCAGCUGGGGAGUACUGAAGCAAAAACCAUAGGAAAAUGUAGGUUCAUAGCACAGAUUUAGUUAAAUGUGCGUGUUCUGAUGGAACCAUAAGGUGGAAGGUCUGCUCUGUUUAUGCUCUGGUUGUUUUACUUAAUUUUGGGGAUUAAAGCAAAGCAUCCCUGACUGUGUGUACACACACCAGCCAUCAGCUGGGCCUACAGGGUAGGAUACAUGGAUUAAUAGGAAAUAUUGAGUUUGCUGUAUCCUUAAUAUCAUCAGGGAAUUGUUAACCCAAGGAGGGAGUGAUGGUUCUGGGUGAUGGCUCCGCUUUCCCCCACCCUGUCUCUCCACUAAUAUGGAAUUAGAGCAAAGAGCCAGAGACAAACCCGGUGUCUCUGGGCUGCUUCUUCCUUGUUCAACAGCCAAAAACCCUCGGCAGCAGCGGGAGUUCUCCCUGGCCCUCCUUGUUUUGCAGCAGGACCGUGCCAAACCACAGCCUGCCAUUAAAAAUGGGUCACUGCCACAGGAUCCUGGACUCAUGGAGCGUCCUGAGCUGGAAGUGACACACAAGGACCGGGGUUUCCCAGUGCACACCCGACCCCUCAGGCUCCCAGCUGGGUGUUAGAUGAGAGAAGGAAGGAGGGACAAGCCUUCGAGGCAGGGCAAAGUUUCUUUUUCUUCACAAAGAACGCAGCUGUGAUAACUCCCCACAGGGAAGCACCAUCACAUCCCACCCAGCCUGAGGGGUCUUCUCUGCUAAUGGGCCACCAUGGACUCAGUGGCACCAGCACAAUGGGCAGCUGCAACCACUGAGACCACCAAGGACUCCCAAAAAUGUCCAGUGAUUGACAGGAUUCCAUCAUUCCAUUGUAAACUCCCCACUCCAGCCCAAGGGCAGGUACUGAACAUUCCUGCCUGAGUUUGAGUGCAUAUAAUCUGGAAGUUUGGGGUCUGGGGACACCACCACCAUCACUGGAUGGGUCCUGAGGAGGAGCAGAACUUCCACAGGAUCAUUAAUUUCAGCAGGACUGCAGUCACCAUUUGAUAGGACUGUGGUCACCACCCCCAUUAAAAGGUUUGUGGAUUUGUGUUUGAGCCACUUUUUCUGUAUUGCUGCAUUUAUUAUAAUCUUUCUAUUGAAUUUUAACUCUGACCUGAAAUCUCUCUCAAGGUAUUUGGGGUUCAUUUCUCCCCUACAAUUUACUUUCAAAGCAGCACGAAGGUCUUUGCCAGCAUUUUGGGGUUUAGCAAUGCUGAGGCAGGCAGAAAGUAACCCUCAGACCCCAGAAAAAUCAUAUAUUCCCUUAGAAACUAUGGGACACCUUAGGUCAGGUGUCUGACCAGGAACCUGGACAGAUGUGAUGGACAGAGCAGAUGCAUGAAGGACUCUGGGGUUGCUGGGGUAGGACCUGUGGCUGCAGCUCUUCCCUUAGAGAUUUAUAUUCAGGAGAGGUAAAUCAGUGAGGGUGGAAGGUCAGGACUUUCAGCCUCUGGUGUGGAAAAUGAAGUCCCAGACUCAUUGAAGGGCUUAUUUACCAUGUGGAGGUGUUCACACAGGGGACAUGGGUGGAACUGUACAUCAAGAGCCCCCUUGUCCCACAUUCCAGUGCUGUCCUCACCCAACAUAAUUUGUGCUGUGUGUUCCCAUCUUUGAUCCAAAUUUUCACAGCUGAUCAGAGAAACCUUUUCUCAAGCAAAUUUUGUCAGAAUCAAUACAUUCCUGACAUUUAGAUGAAUCCUAAAUGUCUGAUUUUUACAAAGUGUCAUCCAGAACCCCACGCCCAGGCCCAGCCUGAUGUUAAUGAGAUCUGAAUUGUUGCUUUCAAAGCGUGAAAUUGGUGGUGAUAUCUCAAGACUGAAAACGAUACACAGGCAGCAAGCCCUGUUCAGUUUGAGAGGGGGCUCAUGUUUCACAGCAUUUACAGGUCUUAUUUGUUGUGUUUUGUACAUAAAACCUCUCCACCCUUUAAUGACACCAAGAGGGGCUUGUCCACUCGGGUGACUUUUGGGUUUAGGGGUUGGAACCAUCAGUUCAUCUCCGUUUCCGCCACGCUCCGUGUUUUCUAGUAACCUUUGGGAAUUGUUCACUUCAAUUUUAUUCACCAGAGACAAAAUGCUAAUCUGCUAGCACUUCACAUGGUGAGGGAGAGAAGGAGGGGAAGGAAGGAAGACCUGUGUGAUCUAUUCAUUCAUUAUUCCACGGCACAUGGGAAGUCAUCUCUUUACGUGAUUGACCUGCCUGGGUUUGAUUACAACACACAGCUAACCUUUUCCAAAUCUGCUUGUGUCAUACAAGAGAAGGGUUGAAGGCUGUUGCCAUGGCAUUGAGGUAUCUCUUGAGAAAGAGGAAGGGGGGAAAGAAAAGAAAAGAGAGAGAGAGGAAAUGAUGCUUCUUUACUUCCUAGCCAAGUAUAAACAAGAAACACACGCACAUGUUUUUGUUUUGGAAGAGCUUUCAGCUUCUUAUCGAGUCUCAUCUCUCCCUGUGUUUCCUUUGGAAGGGAAGGAGGAAUUGUCUGCUUUGCAGAUCAGUGGGAGGGGGGUGACAAUUGGAGGGAGGGAAAAAAAAAAGAAGAAAUCAGUCUUGCCACCAUUCAUGAUUUAUUCAUGAGACACGUGAGUUUUGCAUUUAAAUGUGACAUUCUCAUGAUCUCAAUAUUGUAUAUGCAAAUCUAAAGAUUUCUGCAUCUCUCCACAUGCCCAGCUUAAGUCUCGCCUCAGAUCCACAGCUCUGCAAAUGUAAAACCAGAGAGGUUCAUGCAGCUUCUGCUUCUCUCCCUGUUUGUUCUGUGCCUCAAAGACUGGAUCCAACACCAAACCGCUCUUAAUAGCAGAGCUAUAAUUUAGAUGUCAUUAUUUUUUUGAAUUUUUUUUUCUGGUAGUGAAUGCUCGCAGUGAGGAAAUUACCUGUAGGUAAUGGUUUCACUUUCUGAGGUCUUGCCUUGCCUGAGCUUUCCAAGCCCUUUCCUCCUAAAGCUGAUCACUUGGGAUUAGCACUGAGCAGUGCUGAGCCACCCUGGACAAAGAAUUUACACCUUGAGCAGUGCCUGCUUCAAUGCUCCAACAAAAAUGUGUCACUUGCCCUCAAUAAAUAAGGGGAAUGACCUUGUUUGCAGGUUUUUGAUUAAGAUAUGAUUGACAGAAUAAAACAAAAGAUGAAGUCAAGGCCAUGAUGAGGCUUCAAGCACUCUGGUCUAGUGGAAGGUGUGUGUGGCUGGGGGUUGGAUUGAGAUGAGCUUCGAGGUCCCUUCCAAACCAAAUCAGUGGUUCUGUGAAAUGUGCUGAUGGAGAGAGGACAGGUUCAGUUUGGAACAGAAUCUGAGCCUUGGUGACAUCUCUGUCCCCAGCCAAGGCUCUGACUCCUGGGCCACUCAACAGCAUGUGAGCUGCAAAGACAAAGCCACACAAACCCUGCUCCCAGCCAGCCCAGGAUGUCCCAACUCCUGCCCAGGAGAGACCUUUGAGCCAGUGUUUGAGGAGUGAUUUGUGUAGGGAAAACCUCUUCUGGGGGCUUGGCCUGAUCCUUGUGGCUGCAAUGCUGCUUCAUGCUCUUCUUACACGGUGAACCAACCAGAGCAGAAGUAUUUGUGUAAGUUUUUGGAUCAGCUCUGAUGCAAAUAUUUCUCAGUUAUUAAUGAACAACCACAGCAUUCAUUGAUAAGAAUUAAAUUUGUGGUUUUUAUAGCAUUUUCCCACAUUCAUCGCUCAGCACCUGUUGUCAUAUUGAUGCCAGAGCUUGCUGAAGCUUGUGUUCACUUUGAGGUCAGGGCCCAUAUCAGCAAAAUUCUUCCUAUUGGUUUCAUUAUUUCAAAGCCAUAAAUGUUUACUAGCUAUCCAUACAGCCUAAUAUCCCAUCUCCAACAAUGACUGCUUCAGGGCACUGGAAAAGAGACAGAGCUUGUAUUGAAUGACAUUUCACAAGAGUAUUAACUUAGAUUUAGGAAAAUCUAGAUAUAGAGACUUCCUGAUGUCAUGUGUUCAGGUCCAACUAAUUGCUUUCAAAAACUUGUCCCUUUCAAACCCACCUGCACGUUUGCUCCCCCAGCAUGGCAACGAGUGUCACAAUUUAAUUUCCUACAGGGUGGACAACCACUUAAGUUUGGAUAAUUUAAUGCUGUUGAUGUCUACUGUUCUUCCCAUUACAAGAGUUAAUAAAAGAGUUGUUCCUGA
This is a long non-coding RNA of Parus major (Great Tit), 5170 nucleotides long. RefSeq lists it as uncharacterized. The record is from RefSeq and is a predicted model, not a curated record. NCBI's taxonomy places the organism in Eukaryota, Metazoa, Chordata, Aves, Passeriformes, Paridae. The transcript is spliced from 2 exons.